This 1667-nucleotide long non-coding RNA is filed under the name Ananas comosus (pineapple). Its description in RNAcentral is "long non-coding RNA (ACOM_LNC006274)". The record is from RNAcentral. Lineage: Eukaryota; Viridiplantae; Streptophyta; Magnoliopsida; Poales; Bromeliaceae.
AGAAAAAUACAUGAAACCAACUUGAUCAAAUGAUAACAAAACUAAUAGAUUCGAUCAAUCUCACGUAGAACUACAUGUAGAGCACCUAUCAAUUAGUAAAAGCUGCAGUUGACUGAAUAUAAAUGACUAGAAUAAUAGCGCUAUCUAGGGCUAAUUUAUGGCUAAAAAUUUGCAUAGGCAUCAAGCCUAAAUCUUUAAAUAUGAUUUUAAAGAUACACAUUCCCAUUAUGAUACAAUGAGGCACUGAUUACUAAUCCAGGCACAAAAAAGCAUUCAAAUUAUCUUAUUGGAUAAAAACAAUCAAAUUUGCAAUAACACACUCUUAACUUGUAAUCUUAAAAACAAAAAAAUUACAGCAAAGGACAACCAAAUUUAGUCACUGUAAAUAUUCUACACUGAAAUGCAGCUCCCACCACUAUUAGAUCUUGCUCUGCCAUACUUUAAGAUUUGCUUUGAGUGGGGUCUUGUCCAAGCACAUAGAAAGGUAAUUCUGAAUAGACCUGGAAAAUUAAUUAAAGCACCAACUGCAUUAUCUAAUUGACACAGCAAGUGGCCGUCCCUAGAGUAGGUGGCAAAAAGCUUGGUGGUUAGUACCCGAGACUCAAGUUCAAAUCCUAAUUGAUUCACAUUUUCAGCUAAAUUUAUUUGUAAAUAAAAUAAACGAAGCGAAUAGCGUGCUACCUAUCUCUCAAAAAAAAAAAAAAAAAAAAGACACUGCAAUGAGAUGCAUCUCUUGGAGUUGGUACCUAAUAAUGAGAGCUUGAAGCUUUUUUAUGGGUCUCGUAGUAGGAAUCAACAAGAGAUUGCCUUGGAAGUUCAAAUAUUCACUAUCCAUUACCUGAGCUUGCUGCAGUAGUAGAAAAUCUCUCUUUCUCUCUCUAGAUCUCUCAGGUUAAAUAUCUCCCUCCCUCUCUCUUUCUCUCUCUCUCUCUCCAAGACAAAUAAAUCUCCAUAGGACUUCAUUAAUAAUGGCAUUACAAAUUAAAUGCACAAAAAGUUGAAGUUAAUGCACAUAUAUUUCCUUCAAGGAUGAGAACCAACGCUACGACUACAAAUACAAAAACACCAUAUAUUUUGUUCCAGUGAAAAAAAAAAAACCAUAACAAAUAAUGCAGUAACUUGCAUGAUAGCUUGUUAUAAUUAUUACUGCACAUGAAGUAAUUACUUUGUAAUGCAUUCUCACCUACCAUAUCUCUCAUAUCAGUACAAAGAAAGAAAAAAAUUGAAAACAAAAAAGAAAUACACAUGCAUACAUACAUACAUACCUACAUACAUACAGUUGGGCUAGUACAAGAAGACAAUGACCAAAUGAUGAAACGCAUGGUAGUUUCUGAUACGAGGCGGGCUCAUGCAUUUAUUCUCUUUGUAAUUUACUCGUUGUAUUCAUGAUUCAUUUAUUUUUAAAAAUAAGUUUAAAAUAGAAAAAGAAAAGGCCAUCUCAUCAUUGCUCUCUCCGUUCCCUCUUGAAACCCUAAACUUGGAAAAGACAUCAGUGGAGCAUAUUCGACCAGAUCAUUUAUCACUUUAACAUAUUUACUGCACCCGAGAAAAAUGAGAUGGUUCCGAGGAAAUUAAGAAGAAAAUCCAAAGAUGCCAAAGGGCUUCUUCUGCGUUGCCUCAGCAAGAUCAUGGAAAAUGCUAUUGAAAGAUGAAUAAGAAUAACAAAG